AGGGAUCAUUACAGAGCGCUUCUGCCUCUAAAACCACUGUGAACAUACCCGUACCGUUGCUUCGGCGGGCGGCCCCAGGGGGGGUCGCGGCCUGCGAAGGCGCCCGCCGGGGUCACACAACCCUCUGUUUUUUUUAAGGCCUCUCUGAGUAACAUACUAAAUAAGUCAAAACUUUCAACAACGGAUCUCUUGGUUCUGGCAUCGAUGAAGAACGCAGCGAAAUGCGAUAAGUAAUGUGAAUUGCAGAAUUCAGUGAAUCAUCGAAUCUUUGAACGCACAUUGCGCCCGCUAGUAUUCUAGCGGGCAUGCCUGUUCGAGCGUCAUUUCCACCCCUCAAGCACCGCUUGGCGUUGGGGCCCUACGGCUGCCGUAGGCCCUGAAAAAUAGUGGCGGGCUCGCUGUGGUUCCGAGCGUAGUAGCGUACCUCGCUCAGGGCCCACAGCGGGUGCUAGCCGUUAAACCCCGCACUUUUUACCAAGGUUGACCUCGGAUCAGGUAGGAAUACCCGCUGAACUUAA
Molecule: ribosomal RNA, 518 nt
Filed under: epacrid root endophyte MG104
Lineage: Eukaryota; Fungi; Ascomycota
Description: eukaryotic LSU rRNA
Rfam family: 5.8S ribosomal RNA (bases 170-323)
Source: RNAcentral